RNAcentral lists this transfer RNA (62 nucleotides) under Parachtes riberai. Its description in RNAcentral is "tRNA-Met". Lineage: Eukaryota; Metazoa; Arthropoda; Arachnida; Araneae; Dysderidae. The record is from RNAcentral.
UGCUGUGUCAGCUAUAAAGCUAACGGGUUCAUACCUCGUUAAUCUGAUAAAUUGCCUGAUUA